CAGUAGCCGCGGGAAUACGUAGGGUGCAAGCGUUAAUCGGAAUUACUGGGCGUAAAGCGUGCGCAGGCGGUUAUAUAAGACAGAUGUGAAAUCCCCGGGCUCAACCUGGGAACUGCAUUUGUGACUGUAUAGCUAGAGUACGGCAGAGGGGGAUGGAAUUACGCGUGUAGCAGUGAAAUGCGUAGAUAUGCAGAGGAACACCGAUGGCGAAGGCAAUCCCCUGGGCCUGUACUGACGCUCAUGCACGAAAGCGUGGGGAGCAAACAGGAUUAGAUACCCCUGUAGUCCCUGUCUCUUAUAC
This 301-nucleotide ribosomal RNA is filed under the name uncultured bacterium. RNAcentral describes it as "partial 16S ribosomal RNA". It matches the Rfam family "Bacterial small subunit ribosomal RNA", at positions 509 to 807 of the family's 1533-position model. The record is from RNAcentral.